Non-coding RNA from Diaporthe citri, 89 nucleotides. NCBI's taxonomy places the organism in Eukaryota, Fungi, Ascomycota, Sordariomycetes, Diaporthales, Diaporthaceae. The record is from the annotation of a RefSeq genome assembly.
GGGAAGGUAGCUUAGCUGGGUAGAGCGGCUUGCAAAGGCGCGCACAUGCCGAACGCAAGUGGUCCUGCGUUCGAAUCGCAGCCUUCCUA